Long non-coding RNA from Nerophis ophidion (straightnose pipefish), 8003 nucleotides. RefSeq lists it as uncharacterized. Lineage: Eukaryota; Metazoa; Chordata; Actinopteri; Syngnathiformes; Syngnathidae. The transcript is spliced from 3 exons. The record is from RefSeq and is a predicted model, not a curated record.
GCAGAAAAACUAGCUGGGAUAGGCUCCAGCUCGCCCCAUUUAGUAGGAUGAGGUUAGACUUAGGGAUGGAAAAGCUAGCUGGGUUAGGCUCCAGCUCACUGAGAAUAGUGGACGUGCUGUGAAUGAUUGACAACUGAGAAGCGGUAAAGUGCACGAUGUGGAAACUUUGAAAUCAGAGGAGCUCCCACUCGUCAUCGUCAUCAUCGCCGAGGUUGAUCCCAGAAGGGGCGGCUCUACGCUGUGUUUGUGGGAGGAGCUUUGUCAUGCGACGGGCCAACCCGCCGUUGGCAGUGAGCGCCCACAAGUCAUCAUCUGCAGUGACUGAAGGACAGGAAGGAAGAGUCCUAGUUAGCUGGGCGGGUGAGUGAUGCCAAUAAGAAGACCUGUGGAUGUGUCUCACCAGUUAGGUAGUUGGCCUGUCCCGGGAUCUUCUUCCAGUAGUCUCCGGCCGGAUUUCUGUCCGAGACACCGUAACGUCGAGCCAGGUCUCCGUUGGCACAUCGAACCCAAACUGUGCGAGAACUGAGAAGCAGCUGACUGACGGUCAGACCUGAAAGACGGACAGAGAUGUCUGAGGACACCUAGACACAAAGCUGGGGUGAAGACACGUUGAGGCAGACCUUGAACCAGGUCCCAAUCUGUCCCAACAGGCAUGUCUUCACUCAGUCCCGUCCUGACGAACACUCCGCCUCUGUUGUCCAGUGCCCACAGAAGACCAUCAUUUGGACUCGUCUGAAUACUAAUUAGUUGUACUCCGAUAGGCUGCAGGAACAUAAGGUUAUUGUUAACUGGACAGGUACUUGUAGACAGGUAGUGAUACCUGGACAGGUAUUUCUAGACCGGUGAUACCUGGACAGGUACUUCUAGACAGGUGUAACCUGGGAAGAUACCGCUAGAGAGGUGUUAGCUGGACAAGUACUUCUAGAUAGAUGUUACCUGGACAGGUACUUCAAGACAAGUGUUACCUGUACAGAUAUUCCUAGAGAGGUGUUACCUGGACAGGUACUCCUAGAGAGAUGUUUCUGGAUAUGUGUUACCUGGACAAGUAUUUCUAGAUAGGUGUUAUCUCGAGAAGUUUUUCUAGAUAAGAGUUACCUGGAUCGGUACUUCUAAAGAGGUGUUACCUGGACAGGUAUUUCUAGAUAAGUGUUACCUGGACAUGUACUUCUAGAUGUGUAUUACUCGGACAGGCAUUUCUAUGUAUUACCUGGAUAGGUAUCUCUAGAUGAUAGAUACCUGGAAAGGUAUUUCUAGAUAUGUGUUACCUGGACAGGUGGUUGUGGGGUUGUGGUUUUAGACAAUGUCCUACCCGGACAGGUGGUUGUGGAUGUGUGGUUUUAGACCAUGUCCUACCUGGAUUUGUGGUUGUGGAUUUACACAAUGUCCUACCUGGACAGGUGGUUGUGGAUGUGUGGUUUUAGACAAUGUACUGCCUGGACAGGUGGCUGUGGAUGUGUGGUUUUAGACAAUGCCCUACCUAGACAGGUAGUUGUGGAUGUGUGGUUUUAGACAAUGUCCAACUCGGACAGGUGGCUGGAUGUGGAUUCAAGCAAGUAUUCCUAGAUUUAAGUUACCAGGACAGGCACUUCUAGAUAAAAGUUACCAGGACAGGCACUUCUAGAUAAAAGUUACUUGAACAGGUACUUCUGGAUGUGUAUUACUCGGACAGGUUUUGUAUGUAUUACCUGGACAGGUACCUCUAGAUAAUUGAUAACUGGAAAGGUAUUUCUAGAUAUGUGUUACCUGAACAGGUGGUUGUGGAGUUGUGGUUUUUGACAAUGUCUUACCUGGACAGGUGGUUGUGGAUGUGUGGUUUUAGACAAUGUCCUACCUGGACAGGUGGCUGGAUGUGGAUCUAAGCAAGUAUUACUAGAUUUAAGUUACCUACACAGGCAUUUCUCGAUAAAAGUUACUUGAACAGGUACUCCUGGAUGUGUAGUACUUGGACAGGCAUUUGCAUUUAUUACCUGGAAAGGUACCUCGAGAUAAUUAAUACCUGGAAAGGUAUUUCUCGAUACGUGUUACCUGGACAAGUGGUUGUGGAGUUGUGGUUUUAGUUACGGAUGUGUGGUUUUAGACAAUGUCCUACCUGGACACGUGGUUAUGAAUGUGUGGUUUUAGACAAUGUGCUACCUUGACAGGUGGUUGUGGUUUGUGGUUAUAGACAAUGUCCUACCUGGACACGUGGUUAUGAAUGUGUGGUUUUAGACAAUGUCCUACCUUGACAGGUGGUUGUGGUUUUAGACAAUGUCCUACCUGGACAGGUGGCUGGAUGUGGAUCCAAGCAGGUAGCAUCAUGUUCGGGUUGAGUGGUUGUGUUCCAACUCUAAAGUAGACCAGUCCCCGACUGUCCAGGGCCCAAACGUUCUGACUUCCACAGCUCAGGCUGACCAAACGAACACUUCCUGUCUCACACAUACAGGACCUGGACGUGAGUGGAGGACUGACCCACGACUCCACAGUGUCAUUAACCACGACUGUCAUGUUGGCACUGUACACAUUUCAGAAUUAUUUCUAGUUGUAUUGAAGUAUCAGUAGUUGCAUGGAAGUAUCUAUAGUUGUAUUGAAGUAUCUAUAUUUGUAUUGAAGUAGCUAUAGUUGUAUUGAACUACGUUUCUUUAGGUGUAUUAAAGUAUCUAUAGUUAUAUUGAAAUAUCUAUAGUUGUAUUGAAGUAUAUAUAGUUGUAUUAAAGUAUAACAAGUGUUAGCUAAUACGAGCAUGGAACAGACACAUUAGCUAAUGUUAACAAGUAAUAAGUGUUAGCUAAUAUGAGCAUGUAACAGACACAUUAGCUACUGUUAGCACGUAACAAGUGUUAGCUAAUAUGAGCAUGUAACAGAAACAUUAGCUCAUGUUAGCACAUAACAAAAGUUAGCUAAUAUGAGCUUGUAACAGACAUGUCGGCUAAUGUUAGCACAUAACAGGUGUUUGCUAAUAUAAGCAUGUAGCACAGGGGUCGGCAACCCAAAAUGUUGAAAGAGCCAUAUUGGACCCAAAAUGCAAAAACAAAUCUGUCUGGAGCCGCAAAAAAUUAAAAGCCAUAUUACAUACAGAUAGUGUGUCAUGAGAUUUAAAUUCAAUAAUGACGACUUAAAGGAAACUAAAUGAGCUCAAAAAUAGCUACAAAUGAGGCAUAGUAAUGCAAUAUGUACAUAUAGCUUGCCUAAAUAGCAUGUUAGAAUCGAUUAGCUUACAGUCAUGCAGUGACCAAAUAUGCCUGAUUAGCACACUCCACACAAGUCAAUAACAUCAACAAAACUCACAUUUUACGUUUAUAAGUUUGGUGGACAAAAUGAGACAGAAAAAGAAAUGGCAUAAAUCACGUCUUAGAAAGUCGGAGAAAGUUAUACAUGUAAACAAACUACGGUGAGUUCAAGGACCGCCAAAAUUAGUAGGACAAAACGGCGCUCGCCAAAUACUCAAAAUCAGUGAAGCAUGUUAAAUAUAAACAGUGUGCUUUAUAGCAAUUAGGGAGGUUUGUGUCAUGUUUGUCUUCCUACAGAAACCAAAUUAAAACAAAAAAUAGUUUUUUUCCCCUCAUCAUUUUCAUUUUUCAUAUAUUUUUGAAAAAGCUCCAGAGAACCACUAGGGCGGCGGUAAAGAGCCGCGGGUUGCCGACCCCUGAUGUAGCAGACACAUCAGUUAAUGUUAGCACGUAAAAAGUGUUGGCCAAUAUGAGCAUGAAACAGACACGUUAGCUCAUGUUAGCAUGUAAAAAGUGUUAGUUAAUAUGAGCUUGUAACAUACACAUUAGCUAAUGUUAGCAUGUAACAAGUGUUACCUAAUAUGAGCAUGUAGCUUAUGUUAGCACAUAACAAGUGUUAACUAAGCAUGUAACAGACAUAUUAGCUAAUUUUAGAACAUAACAAGCGUUAGCUAUUAUGAGCUUGUAACCGACACAUUAGCUAAUGUUAGCAUGUAAAAAGUGUUAGCUAAUAUGAGCUUGUAACAUACACAUUAGGUAAUGUUAGCAUGUAACAAGUGUUACCUAAUAUGAGCAUGUAGCUUAUGUUAGCACAUAACAAGUGUUAACUAAGCAUGUAACAGACAUAUUAGCUAAUUUUAGAACAUAACAAGCGUUAGCUAUUAUGAGCUUGUAACCGACACAUUAGCUAAUGUUAGCAUGUAAAAAGUGUUAGCUAAUAUGAGCUUGUAACAUACACAUUAGGUAAUGUUAGCAUGUAACAAGUGUUACCUAAUAUGAGCAUGUAGCUUAUGUUAGCACAUAACAAGUGUUAACUAAGCAUGUAACAGACAUAUUAGCUAAUUUUAGAACAUAACAAGCGUUAGCUAUUAUGAGCUUGUAACCGACACAUUAGCUAAUGUUAGCAUGUAAAAAGUGUUAGCUAAUAUGAGCUUGAAACAUACACAUUAGGUAAUGUUAGCAUGUAACAAGUGUUACCUAAUAUGAGCAUGUAGCUUAUGUUAGCACAUAACAAGUGUUAACUAAGCGUGUAACAGACAUAUUAGCUAAUUUUAGAACAUAACAAGCGUUAGCUAAAUAUGAGCUUGUAACCGACACGUUAGCCAACGUUAGCACAUAACAAGUCUUAGCUAAUAUGAGCAUGUAUCAGACAUGUUAGCUAAUGUUAGCACAUAAGUGUUUGCAGAGAAGAUCUAACAAGUAUUAGAGGUGAAGGACUUGUUGAUAUUGCUGACAUGUCAAAGUGGGACAAAAAGGACGUGACCAGUCAUGUGCUCCAUGGUACCAAGAAGAACCACUAAAAACAGACCUGACCUUCUCGUCUGCAGACCUUACACACACACACACACGCACGCACACACACACACACACACACACACACACACACACACACACACACACACACACACACACACACACACACGCACACACACACACACACGCACACACGCACACGCACACACGCACACCCCUCCCCCCCCCACACACACACCCGACGUCUACUUUACACACAACUUAUGCAACACUCAGCUGUCACUGCAACACAGACAAACAGGUGAGUGUGUUUGUGUGUGUGUGUGUGCAUGUGUGUGUGCUCUGGCAAUGCUUACUUAAUGGGGACAUCACUCUGUUUACACAGUCACUGUUAGGGGACUUCUUACAGUAUGGGGACAAAAAAACCUAAAGGGAAACCUUUUAAAAUGAUAGUCAGAUCCAUUCUUUAGAUGCCUAGGUGAUUUUUAAGCUAUGGCUCAUAAAACAUGUUGACUGGUUAGUUUGAGUGUGAGACAUUUGCACAGCAGCCCCAUCAUCGGGCUUUAGCUGGUAUUACACUCGCUGCUCUGCUCACACUUCUUCCGUGUAUAGUUAAUCACUUCCACCUGGUCCCCAUAACGAAGGUGGUUUGUCUGCAUGAGACGUCGGCUAAUGGGAUACGAAAAUAAGCUGUAUGAACCAAAAGAUAAGCACAUCUUUCCCAUAAAUGGAUGUUAUUGCCUAUCAUUUGUACAGAACAAUUUGUUCAUAACCAAGUUAAGCCAAAAAAAUCCAUCCAUCCAUCCAUCCAUUUUAUAUAUGUAUUAUACUGUAUAUGUGUAUAUAUAAUAUAUACAUAUAUAUAUACAAACCUUGUUUCCAUAUGAGUUGGGAAAUUGUGUUAGAUGUAAAUAUAAACGGAAUACAAUGAUUUGCAAAUCAUUUUCAACCCAUAUUCAAUUGAAUAUGCUACAAAAACAACAUAUUUGAUGUUCAAACUGAAACCAUUUUUUUUUGCAAAUAAUCAUUAACUUUAGAAUUGUCUGCCAGCAACACGUGACAAAGAAGUUGGGAAAGGUGGCAAUAAAUACUGAUAAUGUUGUGGAAACCGAAGAGGACAAAAACUGUUAAUUUCUUGAAAAUGAAUUUUUUCUGACGUAGGUAUCCUCAGGAGAUCGUGCAGUGAGAAACUCUUCCAAAAGGUAAAGCUGCCCAGAAAAGAACACCCUGGGAAGAGAAAGAGGUGAAGGCUGUCGAGAAGCACAUGAAGCGAUUCAUCUCUUCUGGUAUUAUACCAGCAAAGAGUGACUGUUUAAAAUGUUUGAGGGCCGAACCGGAAGCUCUCCAUUACGGCCUACAAACGGAGAUCGCAGGUAAAAUAGUAGAUUAUAAGAUAAUCAGCAGUUUUUUAUGUUCUUUAUGUUCAAUGUUGUUAAAAAUAAAAGUUUAAAUGAGUUUUUAUUUUAUUUCUGUGGUUUAAGGUAAGAUAAGAUAAUUCUUUAUUGAUCCCACAACAGGGAAAUUUGAGUUACUUUGUUUACAUGUUUCAAACAUUGGUAAAAGGAAAAAUUAAUUAUCUUGAAAAGUGAAAAAUUUGUUAUCCUGGCAUUAAUAGUAUUGUGAUUCUGUAUGGUAUCCAUCCUUAGAUAAAAGUUAUAUAUUUUUCCAAGAACAAAAUCUGGUUUUGUGUUCCUUAGGGUUAAAUUUUCUUACAGCAGGAUUAUAAAACAUUAUUACCUUAAAGUAUGAUUCGCAUUCAGAAUUUUCCAUCCUUCUAUAUAUUGUAGUUGAAGUUGCAGACAACUUCAUUACUGCUAAAUAGCAGUUUUCAGUAAUGUCACAGAAGAUGCAGGAUUUGCAUCUGCAUCAUCAUGCAUUUGCUGGUAUCCGGCAAGGACAAGUCACAGGUGGAACAAAUCCUCAGUGCUGAACUCCUCAAUAUUUGCACCUGGCUCGCUGACAACAAGCUAUCCAUACACUUAGGUAAAACGGAAUCCAUCCUAUUUGGGUCCCAUAUCAAACUUAAGAAGGUCAGUGACUUCACUAUAAAAGUGGGUGUCAUUGUUAUCACCAAGAAGGAUGAGAUCACCUACCUAGGUUCCAUUCUAGAGGCUAAUCUUUCCUGUGAUAAAAUGGCAACCAGAGUGAUCAAAAAGGUCAACCAAAGAACGAGAUUCCUCUACAGAAUCUCCUCUCUGGUCAACAAAAGCACCUUGAGGAUUCUAGCGGGAACUCUCAUUCAACCCUUCUUUGAUUACGCUUGCAGCUCCUGGUACCCCAGCACCUCCAAACCCCUCAAAUCUAGACUCCAAACAUCCCAGAAUAAGCUAGUCCGGUUACUUUUAGACCUCCACCCCAGAUCACACCUCAAUCCAACCCACUUCUCCAAAGUGGGCUGGCUCAGGGUGGAGGACAGAGUAAAACAACUUGCACUGAGCCUAGUCUAUAAAAUCCGCUACACCUCCUUGAUACCGAAGUACAUGUCAAACUACUUCCUUAACGUAAAUGACCACCAUAACCACAACACCAGGGGGAGCUCCACAAACCACGUUAAACCCAGAUUCCGAUCUAACAAAGGUCUUAACUCAUUGUCUUUCUAUGCCACAUCAAUGUGGAAUACACUCCCAACAGGUAUAAAAGUAAGUGCAUCUCUAUAUUCCUUCAAAACCGCUCUAAAACAACACCUCCAGGCAACUUCAACACUUUACUAAUACCCUCCUCCAUUCACAUCCCAUCUCCCCGGAUUAUAAACAACUCAAAUGUACUUCUAAUGUAUAUACUUGUUCUUAUGCUAUCUGAACUCACCAUGUUCUCCGCUGGCUGUACAUAUCCUACUAAAUAAGACCUACACUUUCAAUGUCUACAUUUCUCUGUUGAUGCAAUUGUUGAUGACUGAAAUUCUGAUAUUAACCAAAGCUCCUCAUCCCACCCCCCGGAUUGUAAAUAAUGUAAAUAAUUCAAUGUACAUACUAUGAUGAUUAACUUGUGUGAUGACUGUAUUAUGUUGAUAGUAUAUAUUUGUACCAUGAAUUGAUUAACGUGGACCCCGACUUAAACAAGUUGAAAAACUUAUUUGGGUGUUACCAUUUAGUGGUCAAUUGUACGGAAUAUGUACUGAACUGUGCAAUCUACUAAUAAAAGUAUCAAUCAAUCAAUCAAUCAAUCAAUUUGUUUUAAAAAUUUAGUGGCGAAACUUCCUAUAAGAGGACAGCUGUAGUGCUGUAUUCUGAUGAAUAUGUCAUAUUUAAUUUGAACUUUUUAUUUUUUUUCAAAUGGUCCUCAGUAGUCACGUACAAAUUUGUGUGAAUUAUGCAAAAUCAUUUA